Molecule: ribosomal RNA, 253 nt
Filed under: uncultured bacterium
Lineage: Bacteria
Description: partial 16S ribosomal RNA
Rfam family: Bacterial small subunit ribosomal RNA
Source: RNAcentral
UACGGGGGGGGCAAGCGUUGUUCGGAAUUACUGGGCGUAAAGGGCGCGUAGGCGGUUGGAUAAGUCAGCUGUGAAAACCACGAGCUUAACUCGUGGCCUGCAGUUGAGACUGUCUGGCUUGAGUGUGGGAGAGGAGAGUGGAAUUCCUGGUGUAGCGGUGAAAUGCGUAGAUAUCAGGAGGAACACCGGUGGCGAAGGCGGCUCUCUGGACCACAACUGACGCUGAGGCGCGAAAGCUAGGGGAGCGAACAGG